CUCAGAGUGAGUUGUCCUGGCAUUGAUGUUCCCUCUCCUGGCAUCCCAGAGGCCCCACGUGCCUCCUCUGUGCCUGGUGGACUCCCAGGUACCUUAAGGCUUUUGGCUCAGAUGCCCCUUCCCCCAGGAAGCCCUCCUGGCUUCCUCCCCCGUCCACUCCAGAUUUGUACACCCUCAUCAGGGCCUUUCCCCAGUGUUCUUAUUGCUCGUUGCUGCCCUGCAGGACCCUCGGCCUUGACUCCCCCACCUGGCCCUACUGUGCCAAAGCUCAGAGAGGUUGGGACAUUUGCCCAGUGUCACACAGCUGGGAAGUGGCAGAGCCCAGCACACGCUCAGACAGAUUGGAGCCCAGUGCUUUGCCUGCGGGCAGUGCAGCCUAGUGGCUAGGGAGGUGAAGAGGGCUAGGAGGCUGCUCCUGCCCCUGGUGUGGGGUCUUGGGCAGGUGACUUCACUUGUGACAUCGUUUUCGAGGCACCUCUGGACUCUGAGUGACCACAUCCCGGGCUCAGACAGGAGGACAAGGCUGGCCGGCCAAGGAAGGCUGCCUGCCUGUGCCUUCCCCCACCCCCCAACUUUGCUUCGUUGCCUCUGCUCUCUGCUUUAGCCUGGACCUGACCCCUGACCCCAGGGCUCAGCAAGCAGUGCUGAGUGAGGUGUCUGCACCUGUACAGUCAGGCCACUCAUGGUGGUCGUUCUUUGGCUGGCUGGCCACGCCCUGCCCGACCGACCAGGGCCUGCUUACCUACCAUCCCCUAGCACGGGACUGACCUUCCUGCAUGCUCGCCCCAGGCCCCAGGUGGUGAUUGUUCUAAUCAAAGGGGCCCCUUGCGGCCACGUGCCCACUGCUGAUUUCCCUGGUAACUAAUGAGCCCACCUGAGGUCACUUCCCCUGUAACUGGUAACCUGCCCUUUCCCGGGAGCGAAGCCUGCCACCGUGUCCUGCCUGCCGUCCACCACACACAAUGGGGCGUCUCUCCGGGACUCUGCUUCAGACGUGUGAAUGGAAAGGAGGCCUGGCCCCUAGGGACAGGAUCUGAACCUGGUGAAGGAGCCAACACCCCCAGCAUUGCAGGACAAAUUUUGGAUCAUCCGUGCUUUCUACUGAAAGACUUGCAAUCCAAAGGGGAAAUGAUGGAAGAACCUGCAGAGAAAGCUUGCUGAUCUCUGGUGGAGACAAAUACAGUUUAAGAUAGUGGCUGCAGCAGAACCAGAGCGGGGGCCCCAAGUGUGGCAAGACAGUCUCUUGUUAGUCUGGAUUAAAUAUCAGAUGGAAUCUACUGCCCGUGUUCGAGGUCUGCAUACGGGGGGAGCUUGUGAUGUUGUUCAAGGGCUGGCAGAGCGCUCUUGGCCUGUGGACCCCCAGCUUCCCACAGAACCUUGCACGCUUUCUCCCACAUGCCGGCCAGGGGCACAGACAGACCCUCCACUGCGCCUGCCUGCACCCCGCCCCUUGUCACGCUUACGGCUGCUCACCCCGUCAGGUCGCAGCCUCUGCUCCUCUGUGAGCCUUCGCGGCUCCUCCCAGGGCCCAGGUGCCCAGUUUCUAGCCUUCUAGCCAUCAGCACCAGCCACAUGUCUGCUUCCUGUUCUGCCCUGUGUCCUGUGGCCUCCUCCAUGGACGCUGUGCCCCCAUCCCACACGUGACUGUGACGCGCUGCCCGUCACAGGGGGAUCGACUGCCCACCCCUAGACUCAGCAUGUGUGACUGACGUCUCGCCCACUGGAGGAUGCAGAGGUCAUACAGGCGAGGAUCCUACCCUGCUGCUCUUGAAGUUUUUGGCAGCCACUCAACAAGGGACCCCAAACUCCAUGUCAGGGAGACCACACUAGAGGACUUGAGGCCUCACGAAGAGAGGACCCCCACCAUCUGUUUGCAGCACCACCUUCCUCCUGAGACCCUGACCACGGAGUCCCUGGGAGUUCAUGGUUUGAACUGUGUCCUCUGGAGAAAGACAUGUUGGGGUCCUAACCCCCAGGACCUCAGAAAGGGACCUUAUUCAGCGAUAGGGCUUUCACAGACACUGUCAAGCUACAGUGAGGUCAUUAGGGAGGGAUUGAAUCCAACACAACUGGUGUUCCUGGAAGAAAAGAAAAACUGGACAGAGAGACACGGGGAAAUACCAGGUGAAGAUGAAGGCAGAGGUCCAGGUGAUGCUUCUGCAAGCCAAAGUGGCCGGCAGCCACCAAAAGGGAUUGUUUCCCAGAACCCUCAGGACCAACCAGCCCCGGGACACCCUGACCUCAGACUUCUGGCUUCCAGAACGUGAGACUACACCUCUCUUUUUUGAGCCACCUGGUGUGUGCAGUCCUUGGUUUCAACAGCGCUAGCAAAGGAAUACAGGAGAUAAUAAAAUGGUUGUUGUUUUCAGUC
Molecule: long non-coding RNA, 2371 nt
Organism: Bos taurus (domestic cattle)
Lineage: Eukaryota; Metazoa; Chordata; Mammalia; Artiodactyla; Bovidae
Source: Ensembl